AUUUCUAAAACUCUAUCUCAUAGAAUUCGAAAUCCAAACUUAUUCCUUUUUGAUUUGAUCCAAAUCACCUUUCAUGUAAGAAAGAAGAGAGGAGACCUUUUGUGAACAUGGGAGAAACCUGGGAGAGGGCUUUUGUCACACAAAAUAAGAGGAGAUUGGCGUUGAAUGAGAGAGAGGGCGUGGGGAAGGCUUAUGUGGUGCA
RNAcentral lists this long non-coding RNA (202 nucleotides) under Elaeis guineensis (African oil palm). RNAcentral's name for it is "long non-coding RNA (EGUI_LNC060512)". The record is from RNAcentral. Lineage: Eukaryota; Viridiplantae; Streptophyta; Magnoliopsida; Arecales; Arecaceae.